This 1088-nucleotide long non-coding RNA is filed under the name Equus asinus (donkey). RNAcentral's name for it is "lncRNA (ENSEASG00005029139.1)". The record is from RNAcentral. Lineage: Eukaryota; Metazoa; Chordata; Mammalia; Perissodactyla; Equidae.
CAAGGAGCCAGCAGGUGGAUUCUUCGUAAUGGCUCCUUGCACUCCUUCCUCCUGUCAGUAUUUCGUUGUCACCACGACCCACAAAGGCUGGGGCCCCCAUCUCGCUGACCUCUGAGUUUCUGUUCUUUUCCAAUCUGGUAUUUGUUUUGCCUCCAGGGACCCAAAGGACCGCCAGGACACAAAGGGGAAUUUGGCCUUCCCGGACGACCCGGUCGCCCGGGACUGAAUGGCCUCAAGGGCGCCAAAGGCGAUCGAGGGCUCAUGAUGCCGGGCCCACCUGGCUUACCUGGUCCUCCGGGCCCCCCUGGCCCCCCUGGAGCUGUGAUUAACAUCAAAGGAGCUGUCUUCCCAAUACCAAUCCGGCCACACUGCAAAACGCCAGUAAGUAGCAUAUAGUCACCACCUUAAAGAGCAGGUUUGGCACAAAAGGCAACUCAGAGAAGACGAUCAGUGCUUGUCUUGAGCCCCUUCUGUCUGUCAGUGUCCUCUUGGUGUCUUCUAUCACCUACACAUAGACCCUUCCGUGACUAGAAGCUUCUGGAUAACACACCAUGGCAGUGAAACAUGCUGGAUCUUCUAAGGGUGCGCAUGCUGACAGAGUGUUUCUUUUAACACAAUCCAAAAAGCAGUGUCUUUUGUUAUCAUAACCACAUUAGCUUCGUGCUUGGAGCAGUAUAAUAAGGGGGGAAUAGACCCCUUAAAAAUAUAGAUGGGGAAGAACCAGCAAUUCCAGCCAGUGCUCUUUGCAUUGGGAAAUUUGGGCUAAAACCCAAAACUGACUAUGUGCUGUCCUUCCCCAGUUGUCUAUUCCUGCCCAGCACACGACCCCGAGAGGCAGGGGUUCUCUCCCUCUUCAUACCGAGAAAGCAAGCUGUGACUCAGAUAGGUUUGCUGUUCCAAGGUCACGCAACUGGUGGAGCUGAGACCAUCCUUCAAGUCCCCUGGCCUCCGGGCAGCAGGGAGGGGCUUUGUGACCUCCAGGGGUCAAGCACGUGCCCGGUGGCCCAGCGAGUCAGUAACACUGUCCCUGAGGUCUCCUCUGUAUCAGAAGUGUCCUCUUUCUGUGGGGAAACCCGGGGAGGAUGGCC